This 499-nucleotide ribosomal RNA is filed under the name uncultured bacterium. Its description in RNAcentral is "bacterial SSU rRNA". It matches the Rfam family "Bacterial small subunit ribosomal RNA", at positions 358 to 848 of the family's 1533-position model. The record is from RNAcentral.
GGAAUUUUGGACAAUGGGGGCAACCCUGAUCCAGCCAUUCCGCGUGAGUGAAGAAGGCCUUCGGGUUGUAAGGCUCUUUCGCAAGGGAAGAAAACUUAUGAUCGAAUAAAUCAUGAGGUUGACGGUACCUUGAUAAGAAGCACCGGCUAACUACGUGCCAGCAGCCGCGGUAAUACGUAGGGUGCGAGCGUUAAUCGGAAUUACUGGGCGUAAAGCGUGCGCAGGCGGUUUUGUAAGUCGGAUGUGAAAUCCCCGGGCUCAACCUGGGAACUGCGUUCGAAACUGCAAGGCUAGAGUGUGUCAGAGGGGGGUAGAAUUCCACGUGUAGCAGUGAAAUGCGUAGAGAUGUGGAGGAAUACCAAUGGCGAAGGCAGCCCCCUGGGAUAACACUGACGCUCAUGCACGAAAGCGUGGGGAGCAAACAGGAUUAGAUACCCUGGUAGUCCACGCCCUAAACGAUGUCAACUAGUUGUUGGUAGAGUAAAAUCUAUGAGUAACG